RNAcentral lists this ribosomal RNA (391 nucleotides) under uncultured bacterium. RNAcentral's name for it is "bacterial SSU rRNA". It matches the Rfam family "Bacterial small subunit ribosomal RNA", at positions 28 to 420 of the family's 1533-position model. The record is from RNAcentral.
GAUGAACGCUAGCGGCAGGCCUAAUACAUGCAAGUCGAACGGUAAGUAUGAUAGCAAUAUUGUACCAAGAGUGACGUACGGGUGCGUAACACGUAUGCAACCUACCCUUUACAGAUGGAUAGCUCGGGGAAACUCGAAUUAACCCGUCAUAGUAUAGUUGAAUGGCAUCAUUUAAUUAUUAAAACUGAGGUGGUAAAGGAUGGGCAUGCGUCUGAUUAGUUAGUUGGCGGGGAACGGCCCACCAAGACGAUGAUCAGUAGGGGAACUGAGAGGUUGAUCCCCCACACUGGCACUGAGAUACGGGCCAGACUCCUACGGGAGCAGCAGUAGGAUAUUGGUCAAUGGAUGGAAGUCUGAACCAGCCAUGCCGCGUGCAGGAAGAAGGCCUUCU